RNAcentral lists this long non-coding RNA (2565 nucleotides) under Homo sapiens (human). RNAcentral's name for it is "HSALNT0132829". Lineage: Eukaryota; Metazoa; Chordata; Mammalia; Primates; Hominidae. The record is from RNAcentral.
UCACAGGAGCGUGUGAGAAAUGGAGACAGAGGGAUUGGAGAGAUGAAGAUGGGGGAUCCGUGGUCUCUGAAGCCCCCAAUGCUUGUGUGAGGGAAGACCAUCAUAUUGGACUAGAACCUACCCUAAUAAUCCCAAUGAAACUUAAUGACUUCUUUGAAGGCCCUAUCUCCAUAUAAAGUCAUAUUCUAAGGUUCAGAAAUCCUAAGGAACCCAAGCAAGAUUUUUUACAAAGAAAGAAGUGUUCACCCAGAUACAGCCUAAUGAUACUUCAAAGAGACAGAUUGCUUACAAAGGAAUGACAAUGAAAUUGACUUCUUGAUAGCAUCCAUAGAAACUAUAGGUUUGCUUUUUCCAGUGAAGCUUUCUACCAGAAAAAAGGCAAAGAAGAUGGUUUUUCUGAUAAAGUCCCAUGAGAAUGCUCUGAUGACACUGGAAAAGCUUUCUUUCAUUCAUCCACCCACUGGUGACUUGGAAAAUAGCCUCUUCACCUUCAAAUGAGAGAAUAAUGCUGAAUUUUUCUGAAUUUCUAAGACGGGAAGUGAUGUAUCACUAAAACGGUGAGCUCUCACUGAAACAGGAAAUCUUCUACCAGUGUGGGUCUGAGUUGAUCUCUCCCUCCCUCCCUCCAACCAUCCAAUAAAUAUUUCAUUUUAAAAAAUUUUAAAAUGAAUUUUUCCUCUAGUGCUUGUUAAAACACAAAAUGAAUACUUCGUUGUUUACUUUUUAUUCAUUUGAUUUAUUUAUUUAGAGACGAGGUCUGGCUGGAGUCCAGUAGCCCAAUCAUGGCUCACUGCAGCCUUGAACUCCUGGGGUCCAGCUAUCCUCCCACCCAUGAGUAUUUCUAUAGGAACAAUUAUUCAUCAUGCAGAGUACUAGGUGCUGCAGGGAAGGGAAUAAAAAUAAUCUUUGCCCUUGAGGAUUUCAUGAGCAAAUAAGGAGAUACAUGCACAGAGCUAACUGUAAUGCAACUUAGAUCGAGUGCUAGUGUUUAUUUAUCAUCUAUAUGUGAAGUGUCGAGGAGGAGAUAUUAUAAGAACAUAAGUCAUUUCCCCUGACUUUAAGUGGCCGAUCAUCUUACUUGAGGUACAGAAUGUAAACCUGCUAAACGAAUCCCGGCAAAAUUCCCAGGAGUGACCUUGGAUUCAGAGCUCGAGGAGCACAAACUAAAAGAAAAACUCGUCCUGGCCUAUAGCUGUGCUUUCUCCCUGUCCUCUGGAGCAACAGUGGUAUGUCUCUGAAAAUGUACAUCAUCUCUGUGUGUGGGCAGCUCUGCUGGCAAAUACUUUUACAAGCUGUUUUCACCAGCCCUUCGCCUGCUCCACUGAAAUUCCCAGGGCUCAAGAGACCAAUUGCUUAACCAGGGUAGAGCUGUAUUUCCAUGUACAAUCGACAAGCCUGGCGUUUAAAGCACUAACAACAGCAGUGUGGAGUCCCAUUUUCUAGCAGUCCCAGGAGCCCAUUUUCUAGACCAGCUCUGUUCAAUGGAACUUUCUGCAGUGAUGGAAAGGCACACAUACUGUAGCCACCAGCUAAUGCAGCUAGUGAGCACUUGAGACAUGGCUAGUGAGACUGAAGAAAGGAAUUCUUAAUUGUAUUUAAUUUUAAUGCAUUUAAUUCAAAUUCGAACACCUUAAUUUUAAUGAAUUCAGUCUUAAAACCAUGGCUACUAUAUUAGACAGCAGAGUUCUAGAUCCUGAAGCUGAAGGACAGGGUGAAAUAAAGAGUCCUCCUUGAGCGAAUAGGUGGGUCCCCUGGUAAUUCACAGAAUUAUGUAGCUACCAAAGUGGGUAAAACCAGACCUUGACCUUCAACAGCCAGAUGGGCCCAUGCCACAGGGUUCAUCCUCCCUCUUCUCUCCUCUCCCACCCCCAGCUUCAAUAUAGUGGCUUCUAACAUGUUUUUAUUCCCAUGGAACAAGGAACUCACAAAGCCUCUUAAAUUGACCUCCAUUAGCCUGAAGGCUAAUCCCCUUUUCCCCUGCCUUGGCGACUUCAAAACUUUUCAUCAGAGUGAAUGGAAAGAUUAGGACACCAUCAGUGACACACCAAUAAAGAUGGGAUGAGGCUCAAAAACCUGCAUGAUUUAAAAUGUGUCUAGGUAAUUCUCCUGAGCUGCCAGACUUGGAAGCCAUGUGGCUUCAUACUGCAAAUAGAAACACAAUACAGAACUCACUGUGAUGAGACCAUUUACUCACACGGCAGAUAUUACUGAGCAUCUGAUAUGAGGUGGGCAUUCAUAUAAGUUAGGGAAAUAGCAGUGAAAAAGACAGACAAGAUUGCUUUCAUGGGGUCUAGUACGGGGAGACAAAAAUAAACCAUAAAUAAAUAAAAAGAUAAGUUGAGGCAGAGAGUAUUAAUUGACAUGGAGAAAAACAUUUGUGAUGAGAUAAAGACUGGGUUGGGAGCUACUUUAAGCUGCGUAGUCAGGGAAGUCCUCUCUUAGGAGAUGACACUGAUGCCGAGACUUGCAUGGUGCACAGUGAAUUGUGCUGAGGUCCUGGGGGAAAGCGUUCCAGGCAGAGGGCACAGCAAGCACAGAGGUCCUGAAACAGGAACAAGCCAGGGC